AGACGGAGCCCAAAGCGAAGAGGUGGGCGACGACGUUGGGGAAAGUUUCUGUCCGUUGGAGCUUGUGGAUGUGGCUGCUGUUGAGGUCGGGAUGGUUGUUGAUGCUGAAGAAGCCGCCGCGGCCGCCGCCGCUCCAAAGAAACGACAAGCCAGCCGCAGCCCGGGAGGAGUGACUGACAGCGUCCACGCCAAUUAGAACCCCAGAUACAACCUGGACUCGCACCAUCCUUCUCCAACAGAACAGAGCUGGGUAGGAUUGACAUUGACAUUAUCCUAUCGUGGCGAAAAAGGAUGGGCUGCUCCACGUUCUGCUCUCCUCACCCGAUUAGCUACUUGCGCGCUGCCGCGCCUCCUUCCUGCAAUAAUUGUCAGCCUCGUCCUCCAGCCAGGAGGCCGUAACUCUAGACCCUCCCCUUCCAUUUGCUAUUCGAACAACAUUACUGGGCUUUCCAAAGGGGUGCCGUUUGACUGACGCUUCCUUCAUUCAAUCGUCUGCCCCGUCCAGGGCCCGGAGUGCGCGAUCUCGUGAUUGGCAUCUAAACUCAACCUGUCCUUUCAGCCCAAGGUUUGUCUGCUGCUGGGGCUCUUUUUACUCAUUGGUUGUAUUUCAGCUGAUCGCAGGGAUAUUUGCAUCUUUUACCCGUUUGUCUUGCAUUAUAAUUUUGCUCUGUUGAUGUUGAAAUAAGUUAACUUUUUCGGUAGACCUGUCAGUUGCUAUUAAUCCAGCUGAGAACGAGCCCUUGCAUUUGUGCAUACGUCUCGAUAGACCUAGCUGUGAAAUUGUGUGUUAUUGUUCCGCUUGAGUUGUAUUUUUUUUUAGGAUAUCGCGAUAGUCCUUUUCAAAUCACGAAAGUGAAGCCGCAACAGAUGUUGACCAUGCUUUCUCAAAAAUGGCGAGGCGCAUAAUUGAAGCGUGCCUCCUUCUCCAGACCCUCUGCUUGCUGACAUUUAGGAUUUCAGAACCAGCCAGUUUAAAAUAUAAUAUUCCUAAAAAUUGUAAUGGGUGAGAUCGGACAGGAUCAAAUGGAAAAGUGAACGGGUUUUUCUCAAGCAUAAUUGUACAUUUAAUGCUGUGUACUUCUUCAUUUGUAAUUGAAGGCCGGAGUAGAAUCCAAUUUCAAUUGAAUAGAUGAAUGACGUCGGCCGUCCAAUCUGCCAGUGGGACGUGAGAACAAUUUCAAGCAGAAGUCUCGAUUUAUGGAUAUCUAGUCGGCACGGACUAGAAGGGUCGAGAUGGCCUGUUUCCGUGCUGUAAUUGUUAUAUGGUUAUAUUAUAGGAAUCACGGUAUAGGGAGAGGGGUGAUCAAGCAAAUGUCGCGGUAGAAGAUCGAGGGGGCGCAUGGCCUACUACCACUGUUUCUCGUUGUGUACGCUUUUCUGGAGAUGGUGCACCAACUUGAGCACAUCACUGUGGGGAGGAAUUCUACCAUUGCCAAUAUACCAACCCUUGUAUUUGCUGUGCAGUUGUGUUUUCAUUGUGCAAUAUGUAAUUCCCAAAGUAUUGCAGUUGUGAAAUUUGACAAAUACAACUUGAAAUCUAGCUUGAA
This is a long non-coding RNA of Amblyraja radiata (thorny skate), 1547 nucleotides long. RefSeq lists it as uncharacterized. The transcript has 2 exons. The record is from RefSeq and is a predicted model, not a curated record. NCBI's taxonomy places the organism in Eukaryota, Metazoa, Chordata, Chondrichthyes, Rajiformes, Rajidae.